AAUGAACGCUGGCGGUAGGCCUAACACAUGCAAGUCGAACGGCAGCACAGUAAGAGCUUGCUCUUACGGGUGGCGAGUGGCGGACGGGUGAGGAAUACAUCGGAAUCUACUUUUUCGUGGGGGAUAACGUAGGGAAACUUACGCUAAUACCGCAUACGACCUACGGGUGAAAGCAGGGGAUCUUCGGACCUUGCGCGAUUGAAUGAGCCGAUGUCGGAUUCGCUAGGUGGCGGGGUAAAGGCCCACCAAGGCGACUAUCCGUAACUGGUAUGAGAGGAUGAUUAGCUAGCCUGGAUCUGAGACACGUCCCACACUCCUAGGCGAGGCCGCAGUGGGGAAUAUUGGACGAUGGGGGCAAGCCGGAUCCUGCCAUACCGCGUGGGUGAAGAAGCACUUCGGGUUGGAAAGUCCUUUUGUUGUGAAAGAAGAGCAGCACGUUAAUACCCCGCUGUUAUGACGGUACCCAAAGAAUAAGCACCGGCUAACUUCGUG
RNAcentral lists this ribosomal RNA (492 nucleotides) under uncultured bacterium. Its description in RNAcentral is "partial 16S ribosomal RNA". It matches the Rfam family "Bacterial small subunit ribosomal RNA", at positions 29 to 507 of the family's 1533-position model. The record is from RNAcentral.